RNAcentral lists this ribosomal RNA (440 nucleotides) under uncultured bacterium. RNAcentral describes it as "partial 16S ribosomal RNA". It matches the Rfam family "Bacterial small subunit ribosomal RNA", at positions 338 to 795 of the family's 1533-position model. The record is from RNAcentral.
CCUACGGGUGGCAGCAGUGGGGAAUAUUGCACAAUGGGGGGAACCCUGAUGCAGCAAUGCCGCGUGGGUGAAGAAGCACUCCGGUGCGUAAAGCCCUGUCAGCAGGGAAGAAAAUGACAGUACCUGACCAAGAAGCCCCGGCUAACUACGUGCCAGCAGCCGCGGUAAUACGUAGGGGGCAAGCGUUAUCCGGAUUUACUGGGUGUAAAGGGAGCGCAGGCGGUAUGGCAAGUCAGAUGUGAAAACCCAGGGCCCAACCCUGGGACUGCAUUUGAAACUGCCAUACUGGAGUGCCGGAGAGGUAAGUGGAAUUCCUAGUGUAGCGGUGAAAUGCGUAGAUAUUAGGAGGAACACCGAUUGCGAAGGCAGCGUACCGGCGCCAGACUGACGCUGAGGCACGAAAGCGUGGGGAUCGAACAGGAUUAGAUACCCGAGUAGUC